RNAcentral lists this ribosomal RNA (430 nucleotides) under uncultured archaeon. RNAcentral's name for it is "bacterial SSU rRNA". It matches the Rfam family "Archaeal small subunit ribosomal RNA", at positions 474 to 903 of the family's 1478-position model. The record is from RNAcentral.
UACCAGCACCCCGAGUUGGUCGGGACGAUCAUUGGGCCUAAAGCAUCCGUAGCCGGUUGUGCAAGUCCUCCGUUAAAUCCAGCCGCUCAACGGAUGGGCUGCGGAGGAUACUACAGAACUAGGAGGCGGGAGAGGCAAGCGGUACUUAGUGGGUAGGGGUAAAAUCCUUUGAUCCAUUGAAGACCACCAGUGGCGAAGGCGGCUUGCCAGAACGCGCUCGACGGUGAGGGAUGAAAGCUGGGGGAGCAAACCGGAUUAGAUACCCGGGUAGUCCCAGCUGUAAACGAUGCAGACUCGGUGAUGGGCUAGCCUCGUGUCAGCCCAGUGCCGCAGGGAAGCCGUUAAGUCUGCCGCCUGGGGAGUACGGUCGCAAGACUGAAACUUAAAGGAAUUGGCAGGGGAGCACCACAAGGGGUGAAGCCUGCGGUUC